GGGGAAUUUUUUCCGCAAUGGGCGCAAGCCUGACGGAGCAACGCCGCGUGAGGGACGAAGGCCUCUGGGCUGUAAACCUCUUUUCUCAAGGAAGAAGACAUGACGGUACUUGAGGAAUAAGCCACGGCUAAUUCCGUGCCAGCAGCCGCGGUAAUACGGGAGUGGCAAGCGUUAUCCGGAAUUAUUGGGCGUAAAGCGUCCGCAGGCGGCCCAGAAAGUCUGUUGUUAAAAAGUGGAGCUCAACUCCAUCCAGGCAAUGGAAACUACUGGGCUAGAGUGUGGUAGGGGCAGAGGGAAUUCCCGGUGUAGCGGUGAAAUGCGUAGAUAUCGGGAAGAACACCAGUGGCGAAGGCGCUCUGCUGGGCCAUAACUGACGCUCAUGGACGAAAGCCAGGGGAGCGAAAGGGAUUAGAUACCCCUGUAGUCCUGGCCGUAAACGAUGAACACUAGGUGUCGGGGGAAUCGACCCCCUCGGUGUCGUAGCCAACGCGUUAAGUGUUCCGCCUGGGGAGUACGCACGCAAGUGUGAAACUCAAAGGAAUUGACGGGGGCCCGCACAAGCGGUGGAGUAUGUGGUUUAAUUCGAUGCAACGCGAAGAACCUUACCAGGGCUUGACAUCCUGCGAACCCCUGAGAGAUCGGGGGGUGCCUUCGGGAACGCAGUGACAGGUGGUGCAUGGCUGUCGUCAGCUCGUGUCGUGAGAUGUUGGGUUAAGUCCCGCAACGAGCGCAACCCACGUCUUUAGUUGCCAGCAUUCAGUUGGGCACUCUAGAGAGACCGCCGGUGAUAAACCGGAGGAAGGUGUGGAUGACGUCAAGUCAUCAUGCCCCUUACGUCCUGGGCUACACACGUACUACAAUGCUACGGACAAAGGGCAGCAAACUCGCGAGAGCUAGCAAAUCCCAUAAACCGUGGCUCAGUUCAGAUCGUAGGCUGCAACUCGCCUACGUGAAGGAGGAAUCGCUAGUAAUCGCAGGUCAGCAUACUGCGGUGAAUACGUUCCCGGGCCUUGUACACACCGCCCGUCACACCAUGGAAGUUGGCCAUGCCCGAAGUCGUUACUCCAACCCGUAAGGGAGGAGGACGCCGAAGGUGGGGCUGAUGACUGGGGUGAAGUCGUAACAAGGUAGCCGUACCGGAAGGUGCGGCUGGAUCACCUCCUAA
Molecule: ribosomal RNA, 1165 nt
Filed under: Cyanobium sp. ULC084
Lineage: Bacteria; Bacillati; Cyanobacteriota; Cyanophyceae; Synechococcales; Prochlorococcaceae
Description: bacterial SSU rRNA
Rfam family: Bacterial small subunit ribosomal RNA
Source: RNAcentral